This 563-nucleotide ribosomal RNA is filed under the name Ogataea sp. Its description in RNAcentral is "eukaryotic LSU rRNA". It matches the Rfam family "Eukaryotic large subunit ribosomal RNA", at positions 62 to 648 of the family's 3401-position model. RNAcentral also lists the same sequence under 1 other name. The record is from RNAcentral. Lineage: Eukaryota; Fungi; Ascomycota; Pichiomycetes; Pichiales; Pichiaceae.
AAACCACCAGGGAUUGCCUUAGUAACGGCGAGGGAAGCGGCAAGAGCUCAAAUUUGAAUUCGGGCACUUCCAGUUUCCGAGUGGUAAUUGGAAGAAGGCAGUCUUGGUGGGCACCCUGGUUUAUGUUCCUUGGACCAGGACGUCACAGAGGGUGAGAAUCCCGUGCGAGGAGGCUUUUUUGUUAUGUAAGGCGCUUUGGAAGAGUCGAGUUGUUUGGGAAUGCAGUUCUAAGUGGGUGGUAAAUUCCUUUUAAAGUUAAAUAUUGGCGAGAGACCGUUAGGGAACAAGUCCAGUGAUGGAAAGAUGAAAAGAACUUUGAAAAGAGAGUGAACCAGUACGUGAAAUUGUUGAAAGGGAAGGGCUUGAGAUUAGACUUGGUUUUGUUCAAUCAUUUCUCCUUGUGGGAGGUGCUCUUGGCUUUACCGGGCCAGCAUCGGUUUUGAUGGUGGGAUAAUAGCGAUUGAACGUGGCCCCUCGGGGUGUUAUAGCUUUCGUUGAUACCGCCUAUCGGGACCGAAGACUGCGUCUUUGACAAGGAUGCUGGCGUAAUGAUCUUAAACCGC